GGCAGCAGGGAACAGCUUUUGGAUGAGUCAUGCCUCCUUUGGGUGGGGCGCACUCUUGAAUGGGCAACAGGAAGGUGGGAAGAUGCCUUCAUUCAGGUGAGUCAGCUGCAGAAGUGCUGUUGUGAUUCAGGCCCACUGUGGGACCUCAUUACGGUCGUAUCAUUUCCGAAAUACGACCUGAUGAGACUUUUAUACAUAGGGUUUGGGGGAAAUGACCUAAUAAGACAUUUAUAAAUACGAAAAAUGAUUCAAACAUGCCUUGUUUGAAUGGAAACCUGCAUUAAGAGUCUUCACAUCAUUACAGUCCGGAGGGAUCCCGGGUGGUGCAAUGGAGCACAAUGACGGAGGAAAGGCCGGCCACGUGCGCACGUUGAGUCUCUUGCUCAGGAGGCUCCUGGGACUCGUCAAUCUGGCCAGGGCAGCCAAGGUGCGUAUCCUGCACAGCUAAGGGAAUGAUUCAGCGGUUGUUUCCGUGGUCCCACCCCCAUCUCAAGCACUAAAGGAACAAAUCCAGCCAGCCUCAUAAUACCAACAGCUCCUUUAGCAAGGAAAAGGCACAAAGGUAAGAACAGAGUGGAGAGACUCCAUUACUAAGAAAUCAAUGAGAUAUUAUAUGCCAGGUUAUUGUUUAGCAUUUCCCUAUAAUGCCCAAAGUGGUUCAAAAGCCUUCCUGAAGCGAAGUCAAGGCGACAGUGUCUAUCCCCCCAUCUUCCCCCUGCUCUGUCUUGCAUUGGCUGAAACAAACAUUUAUCCCCUUUCAUAAACUUUUUUGGGGCAUGGGGCGGGAAGUGCAUGCAUCUCUACAUUUCCUCACGUUUUGGUCAUUUGAGGAAAAAGUGUGGCUAACCCAAACUCAACACUCACCCUCCUUUUCUGCCUUUGGUGAGGGAGGUUUCAAAAUCACUGCUCCUGAGAUGCCAAAGCAGUGGUUUCUUCUCAGGUGCAUUGAGUGUUGACCAAAUAGGAGGCUCUUUUGGGUGGUCCCAGGCUGUGCCCAGGCCUCCUGGAGCCAGUGUGGUGUAGUGGUUAAGAGCGGUGGACUUGUAAUCUGGGGAACCGGGUUCACGUCUCCGCUCCUCCACAUGCAGCUGCUGGGGGACCUUGGGCCAGUCACACUUCUCUGAAGUCUCUCAGCCCCACUCACCUCACAGAGUGUUUGUUGUGGGGGAGGAAGGGAAAGGAGAAUGUUAGCCGCUUUGAGACUCCUGAAGGGGAGUGAAAGGCGGGAUAUCAAAUCCAAACUCUUCUUCUUCUUCUUCUCCUGGGAAGGAGGAACAGAACAGCGGCUGACCUCAGGUUAGAAAGUGGGGGGGGGGGCAGCUUCCCAGGACAAAAAGAAAUCUGUUCCUGGAAAGUGAAAUGAUGUCUCUGCUGGUGGUAUGUUGCUCAGCACCAUGGCCAGAUCCAGGCACGGCAGCUUGCAUCCAACCACAUUUAUUAUGUAUAAGCAACUCUGCCAUUUUUUUCCAAUCUCAGAAAUCAAUAGUUGUUUUCUAUCUUCUACAGCAAGCGCUGAACAAGAGAAAUCCAUUUCUAGCAAAUGCCUGAAAGAGGAGCCAUAAAUCAGGGGCUUUGCUCUAAGCCCUGGGGAGGCCAAGAGGAGGCCUUAAAAUGUCACUUGGUUGAUUUUAUUUGAAGACAGUAUUUCUUUUGCUCUGGAGGACACUCUUUCAUUCAUUUCUCUGCAAAAUUUUACACUGCCUCAAAAGUGACAGGUGCUUAUUUUAAUUUUUUUCAUCUUCUUUCUAGCUGUGGCCUGAAUGACUGAUGCGCCAUCAUUUUUUUGAAUUCCACCCUCUUGGUUUCCAUUUGGUCAUGGUCAACUGGUACCAGAAUCCACAUUUUUCUGGUUGCAUUCUUUUUCAAAAUUGUCCUGGAGAGCUGUGCAAGAGGAGCAAACUUUGGUUUCAGGAAGCAAUAACAAUCCCUUGUGUCUCAGCCAAAGGCCAGAAUAAUUCAUUUCCUUUACCCAUGAAAAGUUUAAGAGGCAUUCCCAAAUUAUUUUAUUAUUAAUAAAUGUCUGCUGUGUUUUUUUCUUUAAUGUCAACUUUACUUCCAGUAAUUCCCAC
RNAcentral lists this long non-coding RNA (2069 nucleotides) under Podarcis lilfordi (Lilford's wall lizard). Lineage: Eukaryota; Metazoa; Chordata; Lepidosauria; Squamata; Lacertidae. The record is from RNAcentral.